This 1218-nucleotide ribosomal RNA is filed under the name uncultured Rhizaria. RNAcentral describes it as "SSU rRNA". It matches the Rfam family "Eukaryotic small subunit ribosomal RNA", at positions 577 to 1805 of the family's 1831-position model. The record is from RNAcentral.
CGGUAAUUCCAGCUCCAAUAGCGUAUACUAAAGUUGUUGCAGUUAAAAAGCUCGUAGUUGGAUUUCUGCGGGGACGGAGCGGCCGGUCGCAACUUGCGACUCGAGCUAGCGCUUUCCCCGCAUCCUGCCGCGAACCGUGCUACCAUUAGUUUGGUGGCGCUGGGGAUCGGCUCGAUUACUUUGAGAAAAAUAGAGUGUUCAAAGCAGGCCACACGCCUUGAAUAAGUUAGCAUGGAAUAAUGACUAAGGACUUUGGUUCUUUUCGUUGGUGUUCGGGACUGAAGUAAUGAUUGAUAGGGACAGUUGGGGCGGUCCGUAUUCCAAAGCGAGAGGUGAAAUUCUUAGACCUUCGGAAGACGAACAGCUGCGAAAGCGUUCCGCAAGGAUGUUCCCUUUGAUCAAGAACGAAAGUUGGGGGAUCGAAGACGAUCAGAUACCGUCGUAGUCUCAACUAUAAACUAUACCAGCUAGGGAUCGGCCAACGUUUAAUUAUUCGACUUGGUCGGCACCUUAUGAGAAAUCAAAGCAUCUGGGUUCCGGGGGGAGUAUGGUCGCAAGGCUGAAACUUAAAGGAAUUGACGGAAGGGCACCACCAGCCGUGGAGCCUGUGGCUUAAUUUGACUCAACACGGGAAAACUUACCAGGUCCGGACAUAGUAAGGAUUGACAGAUUGAUAGCUCUUUCUUGAUUCUGUGGGUGGUGGUGCAUGGCCGUUUUUAGUCGGUGGAUGUGAUCUGUCUGGUUAAUUCCGUUAACGAACGAGACCCCAGCCUGCUAAAUAGCGCGGCUGAGCUUUGCUCGGUGCGAGCUUCUUAGAGGGACUAUGAUGCGCGAUAGCGCAUGGAAGUUUGGGGCAAUAACAGGUCUGUGAUGCCCUUAGAUGUUCUGGGCCGCACACGGGCUACACUAGCGCCUGCAACGAGCAUAUCAGCUGGCCCGAGAGGGUCUUGGCUAAUCUUUUGAACCGGCGCCGUGCUUGGGAUUGACCCUUGCAAUUGUUGGUCAUGCAACGAGGAAUGCCUUGUAAACGCGAGUCAUCAGCUCGCAUUGAAUACGUCCCUGCCCUUUGUACACACCGCCCGUCGCUCCUACCGAUGAAUGUUCCGAUGAAAUUUUCGGAGAGCGCCAGAGAACGGGGCUCUGCCUUGCAGAUCUGGAGGCUCAAAGUCACUUAAAUCUGAACAUUUCGAGGAAGGAGAAGUCGUAACAAGGUAGCCG